AAGUGCAUGGCAGGCUCUUUGGCUGAGAGUAUGAGCCAAUUGCUCUCAGCCAAUGGCUCAUACUCUCAGCCAAAGAGCCUGCCAUGCACU
Pelobates cultripes (western spadefoot toad) is the source of this 90-nucleotide non-coding RNA. The record is from the annotation of a GenBank genome assembly. NCBI's taxonomy places the organism in Eukaryota, Metazoa, Chordata, Amphibia, Anura, Pelobatidae.